AUACGGAGGGAGCGAGCGUUAAUCGGAAUUACUGGGCGUAAAGCGCGCGUAGGCGGCUUUGUAAGUCGGAUGUGAAAGCCCUGGGCUUAACCUGGGAAUGGCAUUCGAUACUGCAGAGCUAGAGUAUGGUAGAGGGAAGUGGAAUUUCCGGUGUAGCGGUGAAAUGCGUAGAUAUCGGAAGGAACACCAGUGGCGAAGGCGACUUCCUGGGCCAAUACUGACGCUGAGGUGCGAAAGCGUGGGGAGCAAACAGGAUUAGAAACCCCAGUAGUCC
RNAcentral lists this ribosomal RNA (274 nucleotides) under uncultured bacterium. RNAcentral describes it as "partial 16S ribosomal RNA". It matches the Rfam family "Bacterial small subunit ribosomal RNA", at positions 523 to 796 of the family's 1533-position model. The record is from RNAcentral.